GGGUGUCAUGCCGGCCGGUUGCCGGAAGACAGGAUUCGUGUCGGUCGGGCCGCCGCA
RNAcentral lists this non-coding RNA (57 nucleotides) under Azoarcus olearius. Its description in RNAcentral is "nhaA-I". It matches the Rfam family "nhaA-I RNA". Rfam says of the family: Acidobacteria, Alphaproteobacteria, Betaproteobacteria and Gammaproteobacteria, Verrucomicrobia, cand. division NC10. The record is from RNAcentral. Lineage: Bacteria; Pseudomonadati; Pseudomonadota; Betaproteobacteria; Rhodocyclales; Zoogloeaceae.